ACGCUCGACACCUACGGGAGGCUGCAGUAGGGAAUCUUCCACAAUGGACGCAAGUCUGAUGGAGCAACGCCGCGUGAGUGAAGAAGGUUUUCGGAUCGUAAAGCUCUGUUGUUGGUGAAGAAGGAUAGAGGUAGUAACUGGCCUUUAUUUGACGGUAAUCAACCAGAAAGUCACGGCUAACUACGUGCCGCAGCCGCGGUAAUCUGAGCGGGCUGGCAAGGC
This 222-nucleotide ribosomal RNA is filed under the name uncultured bacterium. RNAcentral's name for it is "partial 16S ribosomal RNA". It matches the Rfam family "Bacterial small subunit ribosomal RNA", at positions 328 to 539 of the family's 1533-position model. The record is from RNAcentral.